AUCAAGACAAAUAGAUGCUUAGUCAUGCAGAUGAUUUAAUUGGAAAAACUCUUGAUUAUCCGAAGAAUGAAAGUUACAACACAAUUAGUUUGAGAAGUAUGAUAGUAUCCACACCUGUGAGUAUUAAGCGUCAUAUGAGGAAGUUGAGAAAGAGGAAAAAGAGGGUGAAGAAAAAAAAUGAAAAAGUGAAGAUAAAAAAAUAGAAAAUGGAGUGAAUAUUACUCA
This 225-nucleotide long non-coding RNA is filed under the name Lathyrus oleraceus (garden pea). Its description in RNAcentral is "Pisum sativum (pea) long non-coding RNA (PSAT_LNC028111)". Lineage: Eukaryota; Viridiplantae; Streptophyta; Magnoliopsida; Fabales; Fabaceae. The record is from RNAcentral.